CAUGGCUCAGAUUGAACGCUGGCGGCAUGCCUUACACAUGCAAGUCGAACGGCAGCGCGGGCUUCGGCCUGGCGGCGAGUGGCGAACGGGUGAGUAAUACAUCGGAACGUGCCCUGUUGUGGGGGAUAACUAGUCGAAAGAUUAGCUAAUACCGCAUACGACCUGAGGGUGAAAGCGGGGGACCGUAAGGCCUCGCGCAAUAGGAGCGGCCGAUGUCUGAUUAGCUAGUUGGUGGGGUAAAGGCCUACCAAGGCGACGAUCAGUAGCUGGUCUGAGAGGACGAUCAGCCACACUGGGACUGAGACACGGCCCAGACUCCUACGGGAGGCAGCAGUGGGGAAUUUUGGACAAUGGGGGCAACCCUGAUCCAGCAAUGCCGCGUGUGUGAAGAAGGCCUUCGGGUUGUAAAGCACUUUUGUCCGGAAAGAAAUCGCGCUGGCUAAUACCUGGCGUGGAUGACGGUACCGGAAGAAUAAGCACCGGCUAACUACGUGCCAGCAGCCGCGGUAAUACGUAGGGUGCGAGCGUUAAUCGGAAUUACUGGGCGUAAAGCGUGCGUAGGUGGUUUGUUAAGUCUGAUGUGAAAGCCCUGGGCUCAACCUGGGAACUGCAUUGGAAACUGGCUGACUAGAGUGCGGUAGAGGGGGUGUGGGAAUUCCCGGUGUAGCAGUGAAAUGCGUAGAUAUCGGGGAGGAACAUCUGUGGCGAAGGGCGACACUCUGGGACCAGCACUGACACUGAGGCACGAAAGCGUGGGGAGCAAACAGGGAUUAGAUACCUGGUAGCCCACGCCCUAAAACGAUGCGAACUGGAAUGUUGGGGGCCAACUUGGGCCCCUCAGUAUCGAAGCUAACGGCGUUUAAGGUUCGNCGCCCUGGGAAGUAACGGUUCGCAAGAACUGAAACUCAAAGGGAUUGACGGGGGGC
RNAcentral lists this ribosomal RNA (926 nucleotides) under uncultured bacterium. Its description in RNAcentral is "bacterial SSU rRNA". It matches the Rfam family "Bacterial small subunit ribosomal RNA", at positions 18 to 921 of the family's 1533-position model. The record is from RNAcentral.